This 2891-nucleotide ribosomal RNA is filed under the name Vibrio parahaemolyticus. RNAcentral's name for it is "23S ribosomal RNA". It matches the Rfam family "Bacterial large subunit ribosomal RNA". Lineage: Bacteria; Pseudomonadati; Pseudomonadota; Gammaproteobacteria; Vibrionales; Vibrionaceae. The record is from RNAcentral.
GGUUAAGUGACUAAGCGUACACGGUGGAUGCCUUGGCAGUCAGAGGCGAUGAAAGACGUAGUAACUUGCGAUAAGCCCAGAUUAGGUAGUAACAACCAUUUGAGUCUGGGAUUUCUGAAUGGGGAAACCCACUUACAUAAGUAAGUAUCAUUAACUGAAUACAUAGGUUAAUGAGGCGAACCGGGGGAACUGAAACAUCUAAGUACCCCGAGGAAAAGAAAUCAACCGAGAUUCCGAAAGUAGCGGCGAGCGAAAUUGGACUAGCCCUUAAGCUUUAUAUGCGUUAGACGAACGGUCUGGAAAGUCCGGCGAUACAGGGUGAUAGCCCCGUAGUUGACAACGCACAUUCAGUGAAAUCGAGUAGGGCGGGACACGUGAUAUCCUGUCUGAAUAUGGGGGGACCAUCCUCCAAGGCUAAAUACUACUGACUGACCGAUAGUGAACCAGUACCGUGAGGGAAAGGCGAAAAGAACCCCUGUGAGGGGAGUGAAAUAGAACCUGAAACCGUGUACGUACAAGCAGUAGGAGCAGGCUUUGUCCUGUGACUGCGUACCUUUUGUAUAAUGGGUCAGCGACUUAUAUUCAGUGGCAAGGUUAACCAUCUAGGGGAGCCGUAGGGAAACCGAGUCUUAACUGGGCGUUCAGUCUCUGGAUAUAGACCCGAAACCAGGUGAUCUAGCCAUGGGCAGGUUGAAGGUUGAGUAACAUCAACUGGAGGACCGAACCGACUAAUGUUGAAAAAUUAGCGGAUGACUUGUGGCUAGGGGUGAAAGGCCAAUCAAACCUGGAGAUAGCUGGUUCUCCCCGAAAGCUAUUUAGGUAGCGCCUCGGACGAAUACUACUGGGGGUAGAGCACUGUUAAGGCUAGGGGGUCAUCCCGACUUACCAACCCUUUGCAAACUCCGAAUACCAGUAAGUACUAUCCGGGAGACACACGGCGGGUGCUAACGUCCGUCGUGGAGAGGGAAACAACCCAGACCGCCAGCUAAGGUCCCAAAUUACUACUAAGUGGGAAACGAUGUGGGAAGGCUCAGACAGCCAGGAUGUUGGCUUAGAAGCAGCCAUCAUUUAAAGAAAGCGUAAUAGCUCACUGGUCGAGUCGGCCUGCGCGGAAGAUGUAACGGGGCUAAGUAGUAAACCGAAGCUGCGGCAAUGUGCUUUUGCACAUUGGGUAGGGGAGCGUUCUGUAAGCGGUUGAAGGUGUGUGGUAACGCAUGCUGGACGUAUCAGAAGUGCGAAUGCUGACAUGAGUAACGAUAAAGGGGGUGAAAAACCUCCUCGCCGGAAGACCAAGGGUUCCUGUCCAACGUUAAUCGGGGCAGGGUAAGUCGACCCCUAAGGCGAGGCCGAAAGGCGUAGUCGAUGGGAAACGGGUUAAUAUUCCCGUACUUCUUACAAUUGCGAUGGGGGGACGGAGAAGGCUAGGUGGGCCUGGCGACGGUUGUCCAGGUUCAAGUGCGUAGGCUUAAGAGUUAGGUAAAUCCGGCUCUUUUUAAGGCUGAGACACGACGUCGAGCACCUACGGGUGUGAAGUCAUUGAUGCCAUGCUUCCAGGAAAAGCCUCUAAGCUUCAGAUUGUAAGGAAUCGUACCCCAAACCGACACAGGUGGUCGGGUAGAGAAUACCAAGGCGCUUGAGAGAACUCGGGUGAAGGAACUAGGCAAAAUGGUACCGUAACUUCGGGAGAAGGUACGCUCUUGAUGGUGAAGUCCCUCGCGGAUGGAGCUGACGAGAGUCGCAGAUACCAGGUGGCUGCAACUGUUUAUUAAAAACACAGCACUGUGCAAAAUCGUAAGAUGACGUAUACGGUGUGACGCCUGCCCGGUGCCGGAAGGUUAAUUGAUGGGGUUAGACUUCGGUCGAAGCUCUUGAUCGAAGCCCCGGUAAACGGCGGCCGUAACUAUAACGGUCCUAAGGUAGCGAAAUUCCUUGUCGGGUAAGUUCCGACCUGCACGAAUGGCGUAAUGAUGGCCACGCUGUCUCCACCCGAGACUCAGUGAAAUUGAAAUCGCUGUGAAGAUGCAGUGUACCCGCGGCUAGACGGAAAGACCCCGUGAACCUUUACUACAGCUUGGCACUGAACAUUGACCCUACAUGUGUAGGAUAGGUGGGAGGCUUUGAAGCACGUACGCCAGUAUGUGUGGAGCCGUCCUUGAAAUACCACCCUUGUAGUGUUGAUGUUCUAACGUCGACCCCUAAUCGGGGUUGCGGACAGUGCCUGGUGGGUAGUUUGACUGGGGCGGUCUCCUCCCAAAGAGUAACGGAGGAGCACGAAGGUGGGCUAAUCACGGUUGGACAUCGUGAGGUUAGUGCAAUGGCAUAAGCCCGCUUGACUGCGAGAAUGACAAUUCGAGCAGGUGCGAAAGCAGGUCAUAGUGAUCCGGUGGUUCUGAAUGGAAGGGCCAUCGCUCAACGGAUAAAAGGUACUCCGGGGAUAACAGGCUGAUACCGCCCAAGAGUUCAUAUCGACGGCGGUGUUUGGCACCUCGAUGUCGGCUCAUCACAUCCUGGGGCUGAAGUCGGUCCCAAGGGUAUGGCUGUUCGCCAUUUAAAGUGGUACGCGAGCUGGGUUUAGAACGUCGUGAGACAGUUCGGUCCCUAUCUGCCGUGGGCGUUGGAAGAUUGAAGGGGGCUGCUCCUAGUACGAGAGGACCGGAGUGGACGAACCUCUGGUGUUCGGGUUGUGUCGCCAGACGCAUUGCCCGGUAGCUAAGUUCGGAAUCGAUAACCGCUGAAAGCAUCUAAGCGGGAAGCGAGCCCUGAGAUGAGUCUUCCCUGAUACUUUAAGUAUCCUAAAGGGUUGUCGGAGACUACGACGUUGAUAGGUCAGGUGUGUAAGUGCUGUGAGGCAUUGAGCUAACUGAUACUAAUUGCCCGUGAGGCUUAACCAU